CUAGAUGUAAAGGUGACAAGACUAGAUGUAAAGGUGACAGGACUAGAUGUAAAGGUAAACAGAUUAGAUGCAAAUGUCACAAGACUAGAUGUAAAGAUGAUGAGAGUCUAUGUAAAGGCAGCAAGACUAGAUGUAAAGAUAAGAGUAGAUGUGAAGAUGUUGAAACUAAAUGUGAAAGGGAUGAGACUAGAUGUAAAUAUGACAGGACUAGAUGUAAAGGUGACAGGACUAGAUGGAAACGUGACAAUAGUAGAUGUAAAUGUGACAAUAGUAGAUGUAAAGGUGGUGAGACUAGAUGAAAAGUCGACAGAACUAGAUGUAAACAUGCCAGUACUAGAUAUAAAGGUGACAGGACUAGAUGUAAAGGUGAUAAGACUAGAUGUAAAGGUGACAAGACUAGAUGUAAAGGUGACAAGACUAGAUGUAAAGGUGAUAAGACUAGAUGUAAAGGUGACAAGACUAGAUGUAAAGGUGACAAGACUAGAUGUAAAGGUGACAAGACUAGAUGUAAAGGUGACAAGACUAGAUGUAAAGGUGACAGGACUAGAUGUAAAGGUGUUGAGACUAGAUGUAAAGGUGUUGAGACUAGAUGUAAAGGUGACAAAACUAGAUGUAAUGGUGACAAGACUAGAUGUAAAGGUGACAAAACUAGAUGUAAUGGUGACAAGACUAGAUGUAAAGGUGAUAAGACUAGAUGUAAUGGUGACAAGACUAGAUGUAAAGGUGAUAAGACUAGAUGUAAAGGUGACAAGACUAGAUGUAAAGGUGACAAGACUAGAUGUAAAGGUGACAAGACUAGAUGUAAAGGUGACAAGACUAGAUGUAAAGGUGAUAAGACUAGAUGUAAAGGUGACAAGACUAG
Austrofundulus limnaeus is the source of this 862-nucleotide long non-coding RNA. RefSeq lists it as uncharacterized. Lineage: Eukaryota; Metazoa; Chordata; Actinopteri; Cyprinodontiformes; Rivulidae. The record is from RefSeq and is a predicted model, not a curated record. The transcript has 5 exons.